UGAAAGCAUUACGGACGUGGAGGGCCAC
RNAcentral lists this small RNA (28 nucleotides) under Bombyx mori (domestic silkworm). Its description in RNAcentral is "ovarian small RNA-30478". Lineage: Eukaryota; Metazoa; Arthropoda; Insecta; Lepidoptera; Bombycidae. The record is from RNAcentral.